Argiope bruennichi is the source of this 1404-nucleotide long non-coding RNA. RefSeq lists it as uncharacterized. The transcript has 4 exons. The record is from RefSeq and is a predicted model, not a curated record. NCBI's taxonomy places the organism in Eukaryota, Metazoa, Arthropoda, Arachnida, Araneae, Araneidae.
GAUGCUGUUCUCAUGGAUGAAUUAAAUGAUACGAGUGUCCAAAUACCAAACCCUUCAAAGAGACUUCAGGGAGCCGUCCCACCUUGCAAAAAUGAGAAAAUGCGCCAAUUGCGGAACCACGAAGACUACGUGGAGAAGCAGCAAGUUGAACCCUGGAGAACGCGUUUGCAAUGCUUGUGGCCAGCACGAAAUAAAGUACAGUGAACCGAGAGAUAAGUCUCGGGAAACUGGAAAGAUGAAAAAAGAAACCCAGGUGUCAACCGUAUACUGUAGUGUGAUGUAAAUUUAAAAUGACUGAUGAUUUUGAGCAUUUUCUGUGUAGGAAUGGAAAUGAUUUUUUAAUUCUGCAAUUUUUAUAAAAAAUGCAUUUUAUGUUUAUGAAUUUUUUAAAAUUACAACAAUUUGAAAAGUAAAACUAAAUAUAUUAUAGUUUUCAUCCGUAGUUGAUAGAACCUCUAUCUCGAAUAAUUUACGAUUAAAUUGUUUUGAAAAGGAAUUAAAAAAAAAAUAUUUGCAAAUGUACCCCGAACUUCAAAAUGUUAGUGCUCUAACUUAUAAUGUUAUUAUAUAGUAUACAAGAGAUUUAAUGGAAAUUAAACAGUGCCUGCCAAAUUAACUAGGCGGAUAGUGGUUUCCUAAACUAUUAGCAGCUCUUGUGCUAUUUUUUUAUCUCUUUCAGAUGCUGUUCUCAUAGAUGAAUUAAGUGAUAUGAGUGUUCUCAUGCAAGACACCAAAGACUUCAGAGACUACCGCACCAGAGAUAUUUCAUGCAGGCAGAGACAAUCUUGGUGUUAUCGCAAUGAGAAUAAUCCAGUCUUAAUUUAUCCGAUAUCGGAGGAAUCCAGGUAGAAUAGAGCUGCGACAGCACCCAUUUACCAACGAAAGUCGAAAAAGGAACAUUAUCCAGGAAUAACCUUUGCAACAACCUGAAAAAGUUGCAGCAUGGUAUGGUUUUAAGCUACCUUUAUCAUUGGACCGUAUUUCUUUGAAGAGAACUUCAAAUGGAAUCCAAACCUGUUCCUUCACAGAACGGUACCAUGAUACUCUGAGGGAUUUUGUGAUGCCAACUCUUCUACUCAGCGUCGAUGCCUUCCAGACAUCAGUUUCAUGCAGGAUGGUGCACCACCUCAUAUUGAUCGUUGCAUAAAGCGAUUGUUAAUACAGCAUAUCACAGAAGCACGAGUUAACAGCCGUCAUUUCCCAAUAGCAUGGCCUCCUGGCUGGUCGGACACCAGCCCUUUCGACUUUUGGUUGUGGGGUUAUUUGAAGGACAAUACUUACCGUCAAAGGCCAUCUCUACAAUUCUGAAGGACAACAUUCAGCGAUAUUUCUUAAUAUUCCGGCAGACUCAGUCCGGUCACCUAUAGAAAAUAUGGUUCUCCGAUUAAAGGAUAUUGUUGAAAA